CCAGUGGAGGGAGGAUCCUGGUCCAACCAGCAGCUGCCUCAGAUAGCUGACUGAUUGCUUCACCUCCCCACUGGAAUCCUAGCACACAAGCAGGGAGAUGCCUCCAGGGUUAUGAAGUCACAGGAGAAUCUGGGCCCAGCAGGACAGCAGGUAUCUGAGAUCCGGGGUUCCUGAUAAAGAAAGAAAGCAACUCUCAAUCCUC
Ornithorhynchus anatinus (platypus) is the source of this 202-nucleotide long non-coding RNA. RefSeq lists it as uncharacterized. The transcript has 2 exons. NCBI's taxonomy places the organism in Eukaryota, Metazoa, Chordata, Mammalia, Monotremata, Ornithorhynchidae. The record is from RefSeq and is a predicted model, not a curated record.